GCUGGGCGUGGUGGCACACGCCUGUAGUCCCAGCUACUCGGGAGGCUGAGGCAGGAGAAUCAUUUGAACCCAGGAGGUGGAGGUUGCGGUGAGCCAAGAUCGUGCCAUUGCACUCCAGCUGGGCAACAAGAGAAAAAUUCCAUUUCAGAAAAAAUGAAUAAAUUUGUAAGGUUUUUUCCCCCCCCCCGAGACAGAGCCUUGCUCUGUCGCUUUGGUUGGAGUGCAGUGGUGUGAUCUCGGCUCACUGCAACCUCCACCUCCUGGGUUCAAGUAAUUCUCCUGCCUCAG
Molecule: non-coding RNA, 288 nt
Organism: Pan troglodytes (chimpanzee)
Lineage: Eukaryota; Metazoa; Chordata; Mammalia; Primates; Hominidae
Rfam family: Metazoan signal recognition particle RNA
About the family: The signal recognition particle (SRP) is a universally conserved ribonucleoprotein. It is involved in the co-translational targeting of proteins to membranes.
Source: Rfam